This 1332-nucleotide ribosomal RNA is filed under the name Mycobacterium sp. DWMJ-1509B1. RNAcentral describes it as "bacterial SSU rRNA". It matches the Rfam family "Bacterial small subunit ribosomal RNA", at positions 82 to 1428 of the family's 1533-position model. Lineage: Bacteria; Bacillati; Actinomycetota; Actinomycetes; Mycobacteriales; Mycobacteriaceae. The record is from RNAcentral.
UCGGGGUACUCGAGUGGCGAACGGGUGAGUAACACGUGGGUGAUCUGCCCUGCACUUUGGGAUAAGCCUGGGAAACUGGGUCUAAUACCGAAUAGGACCACGCGCUUCAUGGUGUGUGGUGGAAAGCUUUUGCGGUGUGGGAUGGGCCCGCGGCCUAUCAGCUUGUUGGUGGGGUAAUGGCCUACCAAGGCGACGACGGGUAGCCGGCCUGAGAGGGUGACCGGCCACACUGGGACUGAGAUACGGCCCAGACUCCUACGGGAGGCAGCAGUGGGGAAUAUUGCACAAUGGGCGCAAGCCUGAUGCAGCGACGCCGCGUGAGGGAUGACGGCCUUCGGGUUGUAAACCUCUUUCAAUAGGGACGAAGCGCAAGUGACGGUACCUAUAGAAGAAGCACCGGCCAACUACGUGCCAGCAGCCGCGGUAAUACGUAGGGUGCGAGCGUUGUCCGGAUUACUGGGCGUAAAGAGCUCGUAGGUGGUUUGUCGCGUUGUUCGUGAAAACUCACAGCUUAACUGUGGGCGUGCGGGCGAUACGGGCAGACUAGAGUACUGCAGGGGAGACUGGAAUUCCUGGUGUAGCGGUGGAAUGCGCAGAUAUCAGGAGGAACACCGGUGGCGAAGGCGGGUCUCUGGGCAGUAACUGACGCUGAGGAGCGAAAGCGUGGGGAGCGAACAGGAUUAGAUACCCUGGUAGUCCACGCCGUAAACGGUGGGUACUAGGUGUGGGUUCCUUCCUUGGGAUCCGUGCCGUAGCUAACGCAUUAAGUACCCCGCCUGGGGAGUACGGCCGCAAGGCUAAAACUCAAAGGAAUUGACGGGGGCCCGCACAAGCGGCGGAGCAUGUGGAUUAAUUCGAUGCAACGCGAAGAACCUUACCUGGGUUUGACAUGCACAGGACGCCGGCAGAGAUGUCGGUUCCCUUGUGGCCUGUGUGCAGGUGGUGCAUGGCUGUCGUCAGCUCGUGUCGUGAGAUGUUGGGUUAAGUCCCGCAACGAGCGCAACCCUUGUCCUAUGUUGCCAGCGGGUUAUGCCGGGGACUCGUAGGAGACUGCCGGGGUCAACUCGGAGGAAGGUGGGGAUGACGUCAAGUCAUCAUGCCCCUUAUGUCCAGGGCUUCACACAUGCUACAAUGGCCGGUACAAAGGGCUGCGAUGCCGUGAGGUGGAGCGAAUCCUUUCAAAGCCGGUCUCAGUUCGGAUCGGGGUCUGCAACUCGACCCCGUGAAGUCGGAGUCGCUAGUAAUCGCAGAUCAGCAACGCUGCGGUGAAUACGUUCCCGGGCCUUGUACACACCGCCCGUCACGUCAUGAAAGUCGGUAACACCCGAAGCC